GAUGAACGCUGGCGGCGUGCCUAAUACAUGCAAGUCGAGCGAACGGACGAGACGCUUGCUUCUCUGAUGUUAGCGGCGGACGGGUGAGUAACACGUGGAUAACCUACCUAUCAGACUGGGAUAACUUCGGGAAACCGGCGCUAAUACCGUAUAAUCUUUUGAACCGCAUGGUUCAAAAGUGAAAGACGGUCUUGCUGUCACUUAUAGAUGGAUCCGCGCUGCAUUAGCUAGUUGGUAAGGUAACGGCUUACCAAGGCAACGAUGCAUAGCCGACCUGAGAGAGUGAUAGGCCACACUGGAACUGAGACACGGUCCAGACGACUACGGGAGGCAGCAGUAGGGAAUCUUACGAAAUGGGCGAAAGCCUGACGGAGCAACGCCGCGUGAGUGAUGAAGGUCUUCGGAUCGGAAAAAUCUGUUAUGAGGGAAGAACAGAUGUGUAAGUAACUGUGCACAUCGUGACGGUACCUAAUCAGAAAGCCACGGCUAACUACGUG
RNAcentral lists this ribosomal RNA (497 nucleotides) under uncultured bacterium. Its description in RNAcentral is "partial 16S ribosomal RNA". It matches the Rfam family "Bacterial small subunit ribosomal RNA", at positions 28 to 507 of the family's 1533-position model. The record is from RNAcentral.